This 124-nucleotide ribosomal RNA is filed under the name uncultured bacterium. RNAcentral's name for it is "partial 16S ribosomal RNA". The record is from RNAcentral.
GCCGGGGCUUCUUCUGCGGGUACCGUCAUUAUCUUCCCCGCUGAAAGGGGUUUACAACCCUAGGGCCUUCUUCACCCACGCGGCAUGGCUGGAUCAGGCUUUCGCCCAUUGUCCAAUAUCCCCC